ACUGGGCAUGGUGGCGCAUGCCUUGUAAUCCCAGCGGCUUGGGAGGCUGAGGCAGGAGGAUCACAAAUACAAAACCAGUCUCUGCAAUUUAGCGAGGCCCUAAGCAACUUGGUGAGACCCUGUCUCUA
This 128-nucleotide small RNA is filed under the name Marmota monax (woodchuck). Lineage: Eukaryota; Metazoa; Chordata; Mammalia; Rodentia; Sciuridae. The record is from RNAcentral.